AUGCAACGGCUAACCUUCGUCCACCGCGAAACGCCCACCGCCGUGCCGCACUCCGUCAGAUUCCCCAACCCCGAUCGACAAGGACGCGCCGCCGGGAAGAAUCCGACCAUGAGCGCCGCCGCGGCCAACGUCGCCGUCAUCGGAGCCGGAAUGACGGGCGCCGUGUGCGCCUCGCUCCUGGCCGCGCGCGGGGUGGCGGUGACGCUCUUCGACUCCGGCCGCGGCCCCGGCGGCCGCAUGGCGCAGCGGAGAGAGGUGAUGGACGACGGCACGGAGCUGCGGUUCGACCACGGCGCGCCCUACUUCACCGUCAGCAACGACGAGGUCGUCCGGGUCGUGGGCGGAUGGGAGGCGCGGGGCCUCGUCGCCGAGUGGAAGGCCAUGUUCGCCUGCUUCGAUCGGGAGACCGGCAAAUUCAGAGACUUCGAUAAGGAGGGAACCAUGAAGAAGUAUGUUGGAGUUCCUGGCAUGAACUCAAUAUGCAAAUCUCUGUGUCAAGAGGAUGGUGUGGUGUCCAAAUUUGGUGUCACUAUUGGAAAGAUGGAUUGGCUUCAAGAUAGGAGCUCAUGGUCGUUGGCUAGCUUGGAUGGCAAAGAUCUUGGCAGUUUUGAUUUUGUUGUAGCAACAGAUAAGAACAUAGCAUCACAAAAAGUUUCUGGGUUGACUGGAAAGCCACCACCUCUUGAUUUGUCAGUAUUUCCACAUUUGUCAGCCAUGAUUCAAGAUAUCCCAGUUCGCCCCUGUUUUGCUCUGAUGUUAGCGUUCUCAGAGCCUCUUGCUAUGGUACCUGUCCAAGGGUUCUCUUUCUACAAUUCCGAUUCUCUAAGCUGGGCCUUUUGCGAUAGUAGUAAGCCAGGACGUCAUGUACCUCCUAAUAGUCAAUCGUGGGUGUUGCGUUCAACCACCGAGUAUGCUUCUAAGGUAAUAGACAGUAUGGGUCCCCGGAAACCUUCAGCAGAUGCCCUUGCUAAGGUUGCAGAGGAAUUGUUCAGAGAAUUUCAGGCUACAGGACUGAACAUUCCACAGCCAAUCUUUAUGAAAGCUCAUAGAUGGGGUGGUGCUUUCCCAGCAAUUUCUAUCGGCGGUGAUGAUAAGUGUGUCUGGGAGAAGAACAUGAAAUUGGCUAUCUGUGGAGAUUUCUGCGCUAGUCCAAGUGUCGAAGGGGCUGUCCUUAGUGGCAUGAGUGGAGCUUCCAAAAUCCUUGGAUGUUUAAACUUACCAUCAGGGUUGUGA
RNAcentral lists this ribosomal RNA (1233 nucleotides) under Triticum aestivum (bread wheat). RNAcentral's name for it is "partial small subunit ribosomal RNA". The record is from RNAcentral. Lineage: Eukaryota; Viridiplantae; Streptophyta; Magnoliopsida; Poales; Poaceae.